UAAUUAAAUCUCUAACAUAGUGUCCUUUUUUUUGCCACAAACCCCAAAUUGUUUCAUCGUUUGACGGGAAUUAAAGAGAUAAAUCCCCAAGAUGGGUGUCUUAGUGAGUAUAUUAAAACAAUGAUUAAAACAAUGAGUGUUUUAUUCCACCUGCUCGGCUCCUUUGUGCUUACAAAAUAAAUUAAAUGUUAAAACUUGAAAAUCCAUGAUCAUCAUUCUUUUUUUUUUUUAAUUUUAUUUAUUUAUGGUUCUUAAGUGUUGAGUGUGUUGAGUGUUUCCCAUACUUGCGUUGCUGGGCAACUUCUUCCUAAACAAGCAGGGUUUUUUGAAAGCAAAACAUUUUACAAAUCACUCAGAUUUUUAAUAUACUCAGCCUAGAACUGUAUCGCAUCCCACUACACAAUACUAUUUGGGGUGCAGUUCAUAGUUGUGGUACAGUCAGUGUUCGUUAUCAUUUUACUAAAGGAUCCCUCUCUCCUUUUCCUGCAGUUGCUUGGUUUGCUCAUUCAAAUAAAUGCACGCCGUGACAUCACGAGGCUGCCAAGUAGUAGUCGGGUGCUACAUUCCCCUCCAGAAUUUGCAACCCAGCCAGCGUGCUUCCCCCGCUGGCUCAGGAGCACCGGGAUCAGGUGGGAUGAGACGCACCUGGACCAGACCUCCGUGUCCACGAAAAGAAUAAGGGUCAGUGUGGGAAGCGGGUCGAGGGGGACGCACAGGCUGAAAGAGACCCCUGCAACACACGGCCUUAAAAACGGCAUGAAGCAAAGUGGAAUUAAGGAGAGGGAAAAAUACCUAGCCGGUGAAGCGAGGCCCCUUAUAGGUUCAAUUUUUUAUACUGUUCUGUGGAUUUAACUGUUAUCUUAUGUGGGAGACUUUUUGUUAGUUUUGGACUUUCAAGUUGGUUUGAGAAGAUUAACACAUGACCUUUUUUUGGAAGUCUAUGCUUUUUGCCUGUCUGUUGAUUAAAACCUGCCAAUGUUUGACUUCUCAUGACCUUAAAAUACAUUAAAAUAUUUUUUUAAGUAAAUAUGCAUGGCUUUUUUUUGAAAAUGAAGUGCGGUUAAACAAACACCCGCCCCAUUACGUAGGUGUAAGUUAAGUUCAGUUUAAUUAAAUUGAUUUAAGUCAACGCAUGUGUCUGAAUUGAACAUUUUCAAUGGUAAUGUUUGAAAACGCAAACCAAACAAGUAAACGCCCAUAUACUGGAGGUCACUUAUAUGUUGCUAGACUUUUUAAUUUCUAAUAGUUAUUACUCACUAUUUAUUUUCAGCACUGAUGGAUAAGAUAAUGGCUAAGACAAUGUAUUUUAUUCUGAUUUGUCAGAACAAGACAAAAAGACCAAAAUAUAAUAUCUUGGAAGAUAGCAUUUUGGAUUUAGGGCUUCAGCUCCCACCAGGGUCACUCAUGCUGUAAAAGAUUCACAAUCAUGGAACUAUGUACAGCUUAGCAUAAUGGCAUCCACCAAACGUCACGUCAAUGGCCUAUUUUAGCAUAUUUCAGCUUCACUGAGUGAGCAGCUCGCUACAGGGUUUUUCUGAAUGCAGUUUUAAAUUUCCACCCUUAGUAGACGGCAACUGGGAUGUUUUUUUUGCAGGCACUUCCUCUUGGCCAAAUGAUCUACUACACAAUUUUAUAGAAGCUGAUCAGUUCACUGAAUACAGAAAAGCAGAAUGUUGGUGGUUAAAUGUCUCUCUGACGUUGUGUGGCACUAAUUGAGCCACGGCAGGAGGUGAUGGACACUGGGUUUGAGUAUGCAGACAGCAUUCAUGUGGUUGAACCCACACAGUCGCAGCACCUCACUGCGUUGUUGGUUUUCAUUCCCAUUGGCCACCAUUUAUAACACGUAUGAACCAAUGGCCUUUUAGGUCCCUUUUAAAUGUAUGACACACUCCUGACCUCAACAGCAUCCACAGUAUAAUGUUUCAAUGCUGAGGGUUGUUGUGGUUUGAUAAAAAGUUCAGUUAACUGUUGGAGCCUAAUGAAAGGCUCUUAGCAGAGAUGAUGGCAAACAGAGAGACUGACUCUCUAUAUGGUGUCUCUAAGUCCUAUAUUCUAAAACAAUAAAGCCAAUCCAGUUACACCGUUUUCAUGCCUCAACUUUUAGCUAACCUUGCGAACAGGAUUUAAGCGGGAUUUUUUUGGUUAAAACCAUCAGUCAUUUUAAAUAGCCUCAUUUAAAAAGCAAUAAAACCCAAUUGCUAUGAUCGAUUUUCCAAAAACAGCAGUAAUUUCCCCAAAAAAAUGUAAAAUCCAAAUGCACCAAAUUGUUUUGAUUUAUUAUUAACAGGAUCAUUCAUUGACCAAACAUGUCUAAUACCUCCAGAGUGGGAAGAUGGGGGCUGUGGCUCAGAGGCAUAGAACAAGCUGGAGGGGUUUCACGAUUUUAGCAAGUUCUUCAAUGCUUUAACGAGGACUAAGAUCUCAGGAUCCAGGACCACGAAGCAUUACUGGGUGUCCUCUCUCUCCUUUCUCAGAUGGACAGUGUCUGAUGACCAACUCAUGCAAACCUAAACAAUAACCAGUGAAAAACUCAGCUUACUUGUUCAGAUUUUCCUCCUGAACUAUGGUUUUUCCUUUAAAAAGGCUAUAACAUUUUGCUUUAUCACUAGGUGUCCCACCAUACCAAGCGUUUAAACUACAAUAAAAUGUCCUAAAAGUUCAUGCUAUAUAUAAAUAAAUAAGUAAAUAAAGGGGUCUUUUUUUUUUUACAGAUUUCAAUACAAUCAGACUUAUUUUUGCAACCUAUUUUAAAAAAUAGGUUGCAAAUAUAGGUAGGUAAUAUCUGCAAAAUAUUUUUGCAAGUGGCCCCCCAUAGUAGCAGAGAGAAUACAAGUUCAAGACACUUUCACGUUGGCCUCUCUUGCUGGAUCCGAAGGUUACCACCUGGUCCAGAGCUGCCUGGGGACUUGGCCAUAUCAUCGGUCUGGACCAUUCCUGGGAAUGCAAUGUCUCUAGAAAGCCUUGAGGGAAUUUCUUUAAAUUGGCCAGAAAUGCCCACCUGGGUUUUUGGAAGUCAAAGGUUAAGGUAACUCUGAUUAGGACGAUUGAUCUUCGCUGGCCUCACAAUUCAAUUCAUUCAUUUUAAUUGUUAUAUUCACCUUUUGAGUAUUCAAAUUCACAAGGAUGAAUCAAUGUAUCGUUUCCUUCAUUUUCAAUUUCACUGCAUGAAGUGUUUUGUCAACGGUCAAUCUGCUGUUCUAUAAUUUCUGUACUGGCCUUCUGGAGCCAAGCAUUUCAGCACCACGUCAUGUUUGGAACCUCUGUCAGUCCAGGAGAGGAAAUCAUACUUUACAGCCCAUUAGUGUCUAGACAGGAUUAGCCAAUUAUGGGUUGUAUUUAUUUAACCAAACAAUACACUAGUGCUUGUUGCAGACACACACCUGGUGGAGAGCUGCACAUUACAGAGAGCACAUUCUAGUUUUACCUCUCAUCUCCUUAUUGCACAUAUGCUAAUCAACCUCUGUCCUCAUCAUCUUUUCUCUUUCUCUGGUUUUAGGAGCUUACAUAUUUUACUUUAUUACACAUGGCGUUCAAUUAAUGGUUUUAAUGAACAAUGAGGUCACGUUAAUGACACCAAGCUUAGUAGUUAAUGUUGCAUGACGGGCACAACAGGACCUAUGAGACACUUAAUCCCCUGUGUGUGUUUAUGUGCUGUAUGCAUUCUUUGUGUGUCUUUGUAUGAUGGAAAGUUACCCUGUUUCAUUUUGUGUUCACAGCUCUCACUUUUGACAAAGACAAUUUUGCCUUUUUAAUUGUGUUCAGUUAUCAGCAGUGAUCGCUGAGAAAACCAGCCAGUGCUGUUUGGGACAACAGCUCCCCGGGGAAGAGAGUAGGCGGAGAAAAAAAAUAAAGAAAAGGUAAAACAUCUGCUACAAGUCAUAAAUGUGUGUGAGUGCAAAACUUGUAUUACCCAAAUUUUCUUCGAUAUAAGACGCUAAAUUGUCACUAAUGGUGAUUACUAUGGAAAGAUUAUUUCUUUCAAAGUGUCAAAAAAGAGGUAGACGGAGGGCUGAAUAAUCAAGUGGUAUUGACAUUUAGUAGACAAUACUGAUGCUGGAGGCUUUGCAAGAGCCAUAAAGAGUCAAUGAUUUUUAUAUCCUGAAAUUACGUUUUAGAGCUUGUAAACUGCACUCAAUAACACCCACAUAUUGUACAUAUUGUGCAGUAAUAGCCUGUUUACCAGUGUCAGUAGAUGUGUUUGUGUGUCCUUUGCUAGGUCACAUCAUGCACACCUACUCUUCAACAUCGACACCGUCUUCAGCUUUUCAGCCUACCGCUGCUAGAAGGAUUAGGACCGAUCUAUAGUCAGCACACAGGAGAGAUAUGGUGCUCUGUUAGCAUUAAGUAAGAGAUCUUACUUUACUCAAGGCUUCACAAUGAACAACAGGACACCUUUUUCGACAGAUAUUCAAGAGUUUGGUGAUGAAUGUCUUUGAGUGGGAUACUGCAUGGUCAAGAAGUUCGAGGGCACAUUUCCACAAUGUGAACAAAUGGUUUUUAACAAAUAUAUUGUCCUCAGCUCUCAUUUAUAUACAAGACGUGCAGUAUAAUAAUGUCUC
Gasterosteus aculeatus aculeatus (three-spined stickleback) is the source of this 4559-nucleotide long non-coding RNA. Lineage: Eukaryota; Metazoa; Chordata; Actinopteri; Perciformes; Gasterosteidae. The record is from Ensembl.